CUGGCGGCAUGCUUUACACAUGCAAGUCGAACGGUAACAGGUCUUCGGAUGCUGACGAGUGGCGAACGGGUGAGUAAUGCAUCGGAACGUGCCCAGUCGUGGGGGAUAACGCAGCGAAAGCUGUGCUAAUACCGCAUACGAUCUAUGGAUGAAAGCGGGGGAUCGCAAGACCUCGCGCGAUUGGAGCGGCCGAUGUCAGAUUAGCUAGUUGGUGGGGUAAAGGCCCACCAAGGCGACGAUCUGUAGCUGGUCUGAGAGGACGACCAGCCACACUGGGACUGAGACACGGCCCAGACUCCUACGGGAGGCAGCAGUGGGGAAUAUUGCACAAUGGGCGCAAGCCUGAUGCAGCCAUGCCGCGUGUAUGAAGAAGGCCUUCGGGUUGUAAACUGCUUUUGUACGGAACGAAAAGGUCUGGGUUAAUACCCUGGGCUCAUGACGGUACCGUAAGAAUAAGCACCGGCUAACUACGUG
Molecule: ribosomal RNA, 474 nt
Filed under: uncultured bacterium
Lineage: Bacteria
Description: bacterial SSU rRNA
Rfam family: Bacterial small subunit ribosomal RNA
Source: RNAcentral